This is a long non-coding RNA of Pelodiscus sinensis (Chinese soft-shelled turtle), 1748 nucleotides long. RefSeq lists it as uncharacterized. Lineage: Eukaryota; Metazoa; Chordata; Testudines; Trionychidae. The record is from RefSeq and is a predicted model, not a curated record.
GGGGUAUAGGUUUUACAGGCAUUCUGUGACUGAGAUUGUCAUAAACAGGAGGAGUGCUGACCAGCAUCCAGUGACUAAGGGGUUGAACUCAGGUAGCUAGCAAAAGUGUUGGUCAGGUGGCCAGGAGAACCAAUUGAGAUAGAGGGAUGAAAUUUGAAUUGGAUAUAGAUUCCUUACCUGCUUUCUUUGUGUGGGAGAGAAAAAACAGCAGUUGAGAGACACCGAAUGAUUUAAACCCAGGCAGGACUACCAUGUCUCAAAGGAAUUUGGGACAUGGGAGUGGACUGAACAAAGAGAAAAUUGGAAACCCUGUUGUGUAAAAGGAUGUUGCGCACCUGCUGUGAACACUGCAGUUCUAUGCUCGUGAACCAUCGAAGUACCACGCCUUGAGGUGGAGAGUCGGGAACUGAGGGAGUCUGGAUUCCCAGUGAACGUAGUAUCUCCCUGGAGUCUUUCACUGAGUGUAGGACUACAUUAUUUUUUGCCGAGAAAAGCUUCUCGCUCUUGAACAACAGAUCUUCCAUUGAUGGUUGGAACUAGUGGGGAAAAGCAAACGAGCUGAACCAUGAGGCUCUUCGCAUGAUCACUGCCGUGGCUGUUGUUCUUGUAGCCGUAUCUGCCACGUGAAGGGCAGCUUGUAAAGCUAUAUGCAAUACUGUUUGGCGUUCAAAGACGAUCGCUCUGAAAUGUACCUUUUUGUUGUCAGGAAUAGCCUCAAAAAAGGUAUUUAUCUUUGCAUAAUUGUUGAAGUAUUUGCUGAGUAACUUGGCGUAGUUUGCUACUCUCAUUUGGAGCGUAGCUGAGGUGUAUACCUUUUUGCUUAAUGAAUCAAGUAUUUUAUUGUUCUUCUCAGAUGGAGUAGAGUGGUUCUGUUGUUUAUUUCUCUGCUAGGCAGCGUCCACUAUGAGGGAGUUGGGCAGUGGAUGUGUGAAAAGGAAUUCAGAGCUUUUGGGAGGGACACAGUAUUUUCGGUCUGCCUUUUUACAGGAAUUGAAACAGGUUUUUCCACAAGGUUUUUGUCAGUUCGAGUAUGGCUGGAUUGAUUGGUAAUGAAAUUUUUGCAGAUGGAGUCGCCUGGAGGAUGUUUAUGAGUUAAUGAUGGGAGUCCUGCACCUCCUCCAUGGGAAUAUUUAAGUCAGUUGCAACUCUUUUGAAAAGGUCUUGGAAGGAUGAAACGUCCUCUGUGUUAUUAGAAGACGGUGGUAUGAUCGCCUCAUCUGUGCCAGACAUUGAGUUCAUAUGGAGUAAAAUUGCAGAAGUUGAAUUUGGGGAGUUUUGCCCUUCAGUAUCAUUUCUCCCCAUAUUAAUUUGGGGUGACUGGGUCAGGGGAGAGCACAGUCUUACUAUGUGUUUGGUUUUAAGUGGUCUCUUUCUGUGUUGCUGAGGUCAUUGGUUCCAGUUGCCAAUUUGAGAGGUAAGGCAUUGGCAGUGGUAUCCAGGGAUAUGGAGCUCAGUGAGCCAUUCGUGCUCUGAUAAGAUCUGGCUGAGCCCGUUUAAAUGAUAUUCCUGACCCCUCUGUGUGUGGGGAUAACUGAGGUCAAAAAACAGCUAAGUCAUCUUCCCCUUCCAUUGAUCGGGGGAGGGUGAUUCUGAAUAAUCAGAGAAUGGAGAGUGAGGGUGUUUAUCUUCACUCAAAAUUGGUGAAUGGAGUGUAGAAGAUAUUGUCAGAUCUUUGUGCACCAUGUAAGUCAUGAUGGGAGUGUGUGGCGUGGAAGCUGUGCUGCUGCUGAGAGUAAUUCCUGAGCUGC